RNAcentral lists this ribosomal RNA (1372 nucleotides) under uncultured bacterium. RNAcentral's name for it is "bacterial SSU rRNA". It matches the Rfam family "Bacterial small subunit ribosomal RNA", at positions 28 to 1381 of the family's 1533-position model. The record is from RNAcentral.
GAUGAACGCUGGCGGCGUGCCUAAUACAUGCAAGUCGAGCGAACGGACGAGAAGCUUGCUUUUCUGAUGUUAGCGGCGGACGGGUGAGUAACACGUGGAUAACCUACCUAUAAGACUGGGAUAACUUCGGGAAACCGGAGCUAAUACCGGAUAAUAUUUUGAACCGCAUGGUUCAAAAGUGAAAGACGGUCUUGCUGUCACUUAUAGAUGGAUCCGCGCUGCAUUAGCUAGUUGGUAAGGUAACGGCUUACCAAGGCAACGAUGCAUAGCCGACCUGAGAGGGUGAUCGGCCACACUGGAACUGAGACACGGUCCAGACUCCUACGGGAGGCAGCAGUAGGGAAUCUUCCGCAAUGGGCGAAAGCCUGACGGAGCAACGCCGCGUGAGUGAUGAAGGUCUUCGGAUCGUAAAACUCUGUUAUUAGGGAAGAACAUAUGUGUAAGUAACUGUGCACAUCUUGACGGUACCUAAUCAGAAAGCCACGGCUAACUACGUGCCAGCAGCCGCGGUAAUACGUAGGUGGCAAGCGUUAUCCGGAAUUAUUGGGCGUAAAGCGCGCGUAGGCGGUUUUUUAAGUCUGAUGUGAAAGCCCACGGCUCAACCGUGGAGGGUCAUUGGAAACUGGAAAACUUGAGUGCAGAAGAGGAAAGUGGAAUUCCAUGUGUAGCGGUGAAAUGCGCAGAGAUGUGGAGGAACACCAGUGGCGAAGGCGACUUUCUGGUCUGUAACUGACGCUGAUGUGCGAAAGCGUGGGGAUCAAACAGGAUUAGAUACCCUGGUAGUCCACGCCGUAAACGAUGAGUGCUAAGUGUUAGGGGGUUUCCGCCCCUUAGUGCUGCAGCUAACGCAUUAAGCACUCCGCCUGGGGAGUACGACCGCAAGGUUGAAACUCAAAGGAAUUGACGGGGGCCCGCACAAGCGGUGGAGCAUGUGGUUUAAUUCGAAGCAACGCGAAGAACCUUACCAAAUCUUGACAUCCUUUGACAACUCUAGAGAUAGAGCCUUCCCCUUCGGGGGACAAAGUGACAGGUGGUGCAUGGUUGUCGUCAGCUCGUGUCGUGAGAUGUUGGGUUAAGUCCCGCAACGAGCGCAACCCUUAAGCUUAGUUGCCAUCAUUAAGUUGGGCACUCUAAGUUGACUGCCGGUGACAAACCGGAGGAAGGUGGGGAUGACGUCAAAUCAUCAUGCCCCUUAUGAUUUGGGCUACACACGUGCUACAAUGGACAAUACAAAGGGCAGCGAAACCGCGAGGUCAAGCAAAUCCCAUAAAGUUGUUCUCAGUUCGGAUUGUAGUCUGCAACUCGACUACAUGAAGCUGGAAUCGCUAGUAAUCGUAAAUCAGCAUGCUACGGUGAAUACGUUCCCGGGUCU